Molecule: ribosomal RNA, 443 nt
Filed under: uncultured bacterium
Lineage: Bacteria
Description: partial 16S ribosomal RNA
Rfam family: Bacterial small subunit ribosomal RNA
Source: RNAcentral
CCUACGGGAGGCAGCAGUGGGGAAUAUUGGGCAAUGGGCGCAAGCCUGACCCAGCAACGCCGCGUGAAGGAAGAAGGCUUUCGGGUUGUAUACUUCUUUUCUGAGGGACGAAGAAAGUGACGGUACCUCAGGAAUAAGCCACGGCUAACUACGUGCCAGCAGCCGCGGUAAUACGUAGGUGGCAAGCGUUAUCCGGAGUUAUUGGGUGUAAAGGGCGUGUAGGAGGGAAAGCAAGGCAGAUGUGAAAACUGAGGGCUCAACCCGGAGCCUGCAUUUGAAACUGUUUUUCUUGAGUGCGGGAGAGGCAAGCGGAAUUCGGGGUGUAGCGGUGAAAUGCGUAGAUAUACGGAGGAACACCAGUGGCGAAGGCGGAUUGCUGGACAGUAACUGACGCUGAGGCGCGAAAGCGUGGGGAGCAAACAGGAUUAGAUACCCGUGUAGUC